AUUGAACGCUGGCGGCAUGCCUUACACAUGCAAGUCGAACGGCAGCACGGGAGCAAUCCUGGUGGCGAGUGGCGAACGGGUGAGUAAUAUAUCGGAACGUGCCCAGUCGUGGGGAUAACGUAGAGAAAUUUACGCUAAUACCGCAUACGAUCUAAGGAUGAAAGCGGGGGGACCGUAAGGCCUCGCGCGAUUGGAGCGGCUGAUAUCAGAUUAGGUUGUUGGUGAGGUAAAAGCUCACCAAGCCGACGAUCUGUAGCUGGUUUGAGAGAACGACCAGCCACACUGGGACUGAGACACGGCCCAGACUCCUACGGGAGGCAGCAGUGGGGAAUUUUGGACAAUGGGCGAAAGCCUGAUCCAGCAAUGCCGCGUGCAGGAAGAAGGCCUCGGUUGUAAC
RNAcentral lists this ribosomal RNA (397 nucleotides) under uncultured bacterium. RNAcentral describes it as "bacterial SSU rRNA". It matches the Rfam family "Bacterial small subunit ribosomal RNA", at positions 30 to 429 of the family's 1533-position model. The record is from RNAcentral.